AACCAUAGAAACCUGCGGAGUACCUGCGGAAGGAUCAUUACAGAGUUCGUGCCCUCGCGGGUAGAUCUCCCACCCUUGUGUAUUUUCUACAUCUUGUUGCUUUGGCAGGCCGUUGGUUCGCCAACCACCGGCUCGCGGGCUGGUGCGUGCCUGCCAGAGGACCUCUCAAACUCGGUUUGUUAGUGUCGUCUGAGUACCAUAACAAUCGUUAAAACUUUUAACAAUGGAUCUCAGAUCGGA
Molecule: unclassified non-coding RNA, 240 nt
Filed under: soil metagenome
Description: partial contains 5.8S ribosomal RNA, internal transcribed spacer 2, and large subunit ribosomal RNA
Source: RNAcentral